Molecule: unclassified non-coding RNA, 253 nt
Filed under: uncultured Verrucomicrobiota bacterium
Lineage: Bacteria; Pseudomonadati; Verrucomicrobiota
Description: uncultured Verrucomicrobia bacterium contains 16S-23S intergenic spacer region
Rfam family: Bacterial small subunit ribosomal RNA
Source: RNAcentral
UACAGAGACUGCGAGCGUUAUUCGGAUUCACUGGGCGUAAAGGGUGCGCAGGCGGCCGAGUGUGUGAGGUGUGAAAGCCCGGGGCUCAACCCCGGAAUUGCUCCUCAAACUACACGGCUAGAGCAUUGGAGAGGGUAGCAGAAUUCACGGUGUAGCAGUGAAAUGCGUAGAUAUCGUGAGGAAUACCAGAGGCGAAGGCGGCUACCUGGACAAUUGCUGACGCUCAGGCACGAAAGCGUGGGGAGCAAAAGGG